RNAcentral lists this transfer-messenger RNA (361 nucleotides) under Gammaproteobacteria (g-proteobacteria). RNAcentral describes it as "UBA11873 sp003540955 Standard tmRNA". It matches the Rfam family "transfer-messenger RNA". Rfam says of the family: Bacterial tmRNA, also known as 10Sa RNA or SsrA, is named for its dual tRNA and mRNA-like properties. Its role is to liberate the mRNA from a stalled ribosome. Lineage: Bacteria; Pseudomonadati; Pseudomonadota. The record is from RNAcentral. RNAcentral also lists the same sequence under 2 other names.
GGGGGUGACCUGGCUUCGACGUGGGUUACGAAACCGAAGGGGCAUGUCGAGGUGCAGAGCUCCUCGUAAAUCCAACUGCAAACAUUAUAGUUGCCAACGACGACAACUACGCACUCGCAGCUUAAAACCCUGUAGGGUGCCGUCUGACUGAAGCCGUGCUUGUGCGUUCAGUAUCAGGCGUCAUAUCUCACAAGAUCGUGAGGAAGCUUGUCCGGCGCUGAUCCACUAAAACCUUACGGGCUCGCUGAUUGUUUUCCCUGCCGGCCGGGUGACAAGCAGUUAAAAUAAUAGAUCGGCUAAACAUGUAGAACCGACGGCAGAGGACUGACGGACGCGGGUUCGAUUCCCGCCACCUCCACCA